CCCUUAGAUGUUCUGGGCUGCACGCGCGCUACACUGAUGCGCUCAACGAGUUUACGACCUUGCCCGGAAGGGUUGGGUAAUCUUUUUAAAACGCAUCGUGAUGGGGAUAGAUUAUUGCAAUUAUUAAUCUUUAACGAGGAAUUCCUAGUAAGCGCGAGUCAUCAGCUCGUGCUGAUUACGUCCCUGCCCUUUGUACACACCGCCCGUCGCUCCUACCGAUUGAGUGGUCCGGUGAGGCUUUGGGAUCUGGAUGGAAAGAGCGUUUCGCUGUUUCUGCCCGGAAAACUCAGUCGAACCUUAUCAUUUAGAGGAAGGAGAAGUCGUAACA
This 328-nucleotide ribosomal RNA is filed under the name uncultured eukaryote. RNAcentral's name for it is "partial 18S ribosomal RNA". It matches the Rfam family "Eukaryotic small subunit ribosomal RNA", at positions 1470 to 1796 of the family's 1831-position model. The record is from RNAcentral.